This 896-nucleotide ribosomal RNA is filed under the name Lentinellus pulvinulus. RNAcentral's name for it is "partial large subunit ribosomal RNA". It matches the Rfam family "Eukaryotic large subunit ribosomal RNA", at positions 80 to 962 of the family's 3401-position model. Lineage: Eukaryota; Fungi; Basidiomycota; Agaricomycetes; Russulales; Auriscalpiaceae. The record is from RNAcentral.
CUAGUAACUGCGAGUGAAGCGGGAAAAGCUCAAAUUUGUAAUCUGGCGGCCUUCGGUCGUCCGAGUUGUAAUCUAGAGAAGUGCUUUCCGCGCUGGACCGUGUACAAGUCUCCUGGAACGGAGCGUCGUAGAGGGUGAGAAUCCCGUCUUUGACACGGACUACCAGUGCUCUGUGAUGCGCUCUCGAAGAGUCGAGUUGUUUGGGAAUGCAGCUCAAAAUGGGAGGUGAAUUCCUUCUAAAGCUAAAUAUUGGCGAGAGACCGAUAGCGAACAAGUACCGUGAGGGAAAGAUGAAAAGCACUUUGGAAAGAGAGUUAAACAGUACGUGAAAUUGUUGAAAGGGAAACGCUUGAAGUCAGUCGCGUCCGCCGAGACUCAGCCUUGCCUCCCGGCUUGGUGUACUUCUCGGUGGACGGGCCAGCAUCAAUUUUGACCGCCGGACAAGGGCGGGGGGAAGGUGGCACCCUCGGGUGUGUUAUAGCCCCUCGUCGCAUACGGCGGUCGGGAUUGAGGAACUCAGCACGCCUUUAUGGUCGGGGUUCGCCCACGUUCGUGCUUAGGAUGCUGGCGUAAUGGCUUUAAACGACCCGUCUUGAAACACGGACCAAGGAGUCUAACAUGCCCGCGAGUGUUCGGGUGGAAAACCCGUGCGCGUAAUGAAAGUGAAAGUUGGGACCCCUGUCGUGGGGGGCACCGACGCCCGGACCAGACCUUCUGUGACGGAUCUGCGGUAGAGCGUGUAUGUUGGGACCCGAAAGAUGGUGAACUAUGCCUGAAUAGGGUGAAGCCAGAGGAAACUCUGGUGGAGGCUCGUAGCGAUUCUGACGUGCAAAUCGAUCGUCAGAUUUGGGUAUAGGGGCGAAAGACUAAUCGAACCAUUCAUUAAGGCUACUCGG